This 253-nucleotide ribosomal RNA is filed under the name uncultured bacterium. Its description in RNAcentral is "partial 16S ribosomal RNA". It matches the Rfam family "Bacterial small subunit ribosomal RNA", at positions 524 to 776 of the family's 1533-position model. The record is from RNAcentral.
UACGUAGGUGACGAGCGUUAUCCGGAAUUAUUGGGCGUAAAGCGUACGCAGGUGGUUAAUAAAGUCUGGCGUGAAAUCUCUCGGCUUAACCGGGAGCGGUCGUUGGAAACUAAUUGACUUGAGGCGAUGAGAGGAGUGCGGAAUUCCCGGUGUAGUGGUGGAAUGCGUAGAUAUCGGGAGGAACAUCAGUGGCGAAAGCGGCACUCUGGCAUUAGCCUGACGCUCAUGUACGAAAGCGUGGGGAGCGAACGGG